CCUUCGGGAACUCUGACACAGGUGCUGCAUGGCUGUCGUCAGCUCGUGCCGUGAGAUGUUGGGUUAAGUCCCGUAACGAGCGCAACCCUUGUCCUUAGUUACCAGCACGUUAUGGUGGGCACUCUAAGGAGACUGCCGGUGACAAACCGGAGGAAGGUGGGGAUGACGUCAAGUCAUCAUGGCCCUUACGGCCUGGGCUACACACGUGCUACAAUGGUCGGUACAAAGGGUUGCCAAGCCGCGAGGUGGAGCUAAUCCCAUAAAACCGAUCGUAGUCCGGAUCGCAGUCUGCAACUCGACUGCGUGAAGUCGGAAUCGCUAGUAAUCGUGAAUCAGAAUGUCACGGUGAAUACGUUCCCGGGCCUU
This 366-nucleotide ribosomal RNA is filed under the name uncultured Pseudomonas sp. RNAcentral's name for it is "bacterial SSU rRNA". It matches the Rfam family "Bacterial small subunit ribosomal RNA", at positions 1017 to 1382 of the family's 1533-position model. The record is from RNAcentral. Lineage: Bacteria; Pseudomonadati; Pseudomonadota; Gammaproteobacteria; Pseudomonadales; Pseudomonadaceae.